This 435-nucleotide ribosomal RNA is filed under the name uncultured bacterium. RNAcentral's name for it is "partial 16S ribosomal RNA". It matches the Rfam family "Bacterial small subunit ribosomal RNA", at positions 28 to 507 of the family's 1533-position model. The record is from RNAcentral.
GAUGAACGCUGGCGGUAUGCUUAACACAUGCAAGUCGAACGGACUCUUCGGAGUUAGUGGCGGACGGGUGAGUAACGCGUGAGAAUCUGGCUUUGGGUUCGGGACAACCACUGGAAACGGUGGCUAAUACCGGAUGUGCCGAGAGGUAAAAGAGAAAUUGCCUGAAGAUGAGCUGGCGUCUGAUUAGCUAGUUGGUGAGGUAAAGGCUCACCAAGGCAGCGAUCAGUAGCAGGUCUGAGAGGAUGACCAGCCACACUGGGACUGAGACACGGCCCAGACUCCUACGGGAGGCAGGGGUGGAGAAUGUUCCGCAAUGGGCGAAAGCCUGACGGAGCAGUACCGCGUGAGGGAAGAAGGCUCUUGGGUUGUAAACCUCUUUGCUUAGGGAAGAACAAAAUGACGGUACCUAAGGAAUCAGCAUCGGCUAACUCCGUG